Molecule: ribosomal RNA, 151 nt
Filed under: uncultured Glomus
Lineage: Eukaryota; Fungi; Glomeromycota; Glomeromycetes; Glomerales; Glomeraceae
Description: 5.8S ribosomal RNA
Rfam family: 5.8S ribosomal RNA
About the family: 5.8S ribosomal RNA (5.8S rRNA) is a component of the large subunit of the eukaryotic ribosome. It is transcribed by RNA polymerase I as part of the 45S precursor that also contains 18S and 28S rRNA.
Source: RNAcentral
UCACUUUCAACAACGGAUCUCUUGGCUCUCGCAUCGAUGAAGAACGUAGCGAACUGCGAUAAGUAAUGUGAAUUGCAGAAUUCCUGAAUCAUCGAAUUUUUGAACGCAAAAUGCACUCUCUUUGGAGAGUAUGCCUGUUUGAGGGUCAGUA